This 451-nucleotide ribosomal RNA is filed under the name uncultured Fibrobacter sp. RNAcentral's name for it is "partial 16S ribosomal RNA". It matches the Rfam family "Bacterial small subunit ribosomal RNA", at positions 341 to 792 of the family's 1533-position model. Lineage: Bacteria; Pseudomonadati; Fibrobacterota; Fibrobacteria; Fibrobacterales; Fibrobacteraceae. The record is from RNAcentral.
ACGGGAGGCAGCAGUAGGGAAUAUUGCACAAUUGGGGAAACCCUGAUGCAGAAACGCCACGUGUGGGAAGACGCAUUUCGGUGUGUAAACCUCUGUCGUGAGGGAAUAAGGCUACUUUUCGGAGUAGUUGAAUGUACCUCGAAAGGAAGCACCGGCAAACUUCGUGACAGCAGCCGCGGUAAUACGAGGGGUGCAAGCGUUGUUCGGAAUCACUGGGCGUAAAGGGAGCGCAGGCGGAGAUGCAAGCGGACUGUACAAUACCGGGGCCCAACCCCGGACCUGCAGUCCGGACUGCACCUCUUGGAUAGUUCAGGGGCAAGCGGAAUUCCUGGUGUAGCGGUGGAAUGCGUAGAGAUCAGGAAGAACACCGAUGGCGAAGGCAGCUUGCUGGGGACUAAUCGACGCUCAUGCUCGAAAGUGCGGGUAGCAAACAGGAUUAGAUACCCUGGUA